RNAcentral lists this ribosomal RNA (253 nucleotides) under uncultured bacterium. Its description in RNAcentral is "partial 16S ribosomal RNA". It matches the Rfam family "Bacterial small subunit ribosomal RNA", at positions 524 to 776 of the family's 1533-position model. The record is from RNAcentral.
UACGGAGGACCCAAGCGUUAUCCGGAUUCAUUGGGUUUAAAGGGUGCGUAGGCGGGUUGAUAAGUCAGUGGUGAAAGCCCAAUGCUUAACGUUGGAACUGCCAUUGAUACUGUCGAUCUUGAAUGUGUUUGAUGUGGGCGGAAUAUGACAUGUAGCGGUGAAAUGCUUAGAUAUGUCAUAGAACACCGAUUGCGAAGGCAGCUCACAAAGCCACUAUUGACGCUGAGGCACGAAAGCGUGGGGAUCAAACAGG